This 72-nucleotide transfer RNA is filed under the name Schistocerca americana (American grasshopper). RNAcentral's name for it is "tRNA-Pro". It matches the Rfam family "tRNA". From Rfam's summary of the family: Transfer RNA (tRNA) molecules are approximately 80 nucleotides in length. Their secondary structure includes four short double-helical elements and three loops (D, anti-codon, and T loops). RNAcentral also lists the same sequence under 5 other names. The record is from RNAcentral. Lineage: Eukaryota; Metazoa; Arthropoda; Insecta; Orthoptera; Acrididae.
GGCUCGUUGGUCUAGGGGUAUGAUUCCUGCUUUGGGUGCAGGAGGUCCCGGGUUCAAAUCCCGGACGAGCCC